CUCUGACCAGCGACGCCGCGUGAGGGAUGAAGGCCUUCGGGUUGUAAACCUCUUUCAGCAGGGAAUAAGCGAAAGUGAAGGUACUGCAGAAGAAGCACCGGCUAACUAUGUGCCAGCAGCCGCGGUAAUACAUAGGGUGCAAGCGUUGUCCGGAAUUAUUGGGCGUAAAGAGCUCGUAGGUGGUCGAUCACGUCGGAUGUGAAAAUCUGAGGCUUAACCUCAGACCUGCAUUCGAUACGGGUUGACUGGAGUGUGGUAGGGGAGAC
This 266-nucleotide ribosomal RNA is filed under the name uncultured bacterium. RNAcentral's name for it is "partial 16S ribosomal RNA". It matches the Rfam family "Bacterial small subunit ribosomal RNA", at positions 381 to 661 of the family's 1533-position model. The record is from RNAcentral.